Molecule: long non-coding RNA, 4129 nt
Organism: Gasterosteus aculeatus aculeatus (three-spined stickleback)
Lineage: Eukaryota; Metazoa; Chordata; Actinopteri; Perciformes; Gasterosteidae
Source: Ensembl
UAGGGUGAGAGAGGGCGAGAGAGGGUGAGAGAGGGUGAGAGAGGGCGAAAGAGGGUGAGAGACGGUGAGAGGUGAAGGAGAGUGAGAGAAGGUGAGAGAGGGCGAGAGAGGCCGAGAGAGGGUGAGAGAGGUGAAAGAGAGUGAGAGAAGGUGAGAGAGGGCGAGAUAGGGUGAGAGAGAGUGAGAGAGGGUGAGAGAGGGCGAGAGAGGGUGAGAGAGGGCGAGAGAGGGUGAGAGAGGGCGAGAGAGGGUGAGAGGGCGAGAGAGGGUGAGAGAGAUGUAGUGUGUUUUCACAAUCUUAACCGAACUCCUCAGUCAGCAACGUAUCCUCGCACAGCGAUUCAUUGUUACAGGAAUCAAAACAUUGAAAAAAAUAUAUAUUUCAAUACAUUUUUUUACCCAAUAUUCUUUACCUUUUUUUAAUGAGAACUCACAUAUUUUGACGUAUUUAAAAAGUAUUUUUUGACCAAAUCAUUUUUUAUCCUAAUAUUCUCAAUCUAUAAUUCACUCCUGGAGCACCAGGCUUUACCCCUCAACCCACCCAUGCAUUACUUUUGGAAUGAAAUCCUUGGUAAACUAUUACCCCCAAAAUCUUCAAAAUAACUGAAAUUUGUGGUUGCUGACGAGUUGCAAAAAUGCAAAGGCCAUUUAUACGUCAGUAUACUAUUUCCUAACAAUUGCAUAUUGAAUUUUUUCUGAAAUAAUCUCAAAUAUUAAAAACAACAAUUUAGUGCACAACAACAGAGAGGCUCUGUAAUCUGAAACGGCCGACUUAAUCCUUUUGGACCUGGACAGAAAGCAGAACGGACCGGAUCCACUCCUUUCAUUCUUACCUUUCACAAUAAAGGCCCUUGAACUAUUCCAGGCUUUUAAAAAUAAAAAUAAUACAGCUGACCUCCAACACCGUGUGAGUGAGUUAAUGCACAGUAUAUGAUUGUGUGUGUGUGUGUGUGUGUGUGUGUGUGUGUGUGUGUGUGUGUUGGGGACACUGAGGACGCUGAAAGCCCGUUGGAGUUGUGGUCUCCUGACCUGUGCCCCCCUCCCUCCUCCCCCCAGCUCUCGAUGUGUCCUCAAUAAUUAAUGUGGGGGAAAAGGGACGUCCCGCCUCGGGAGCCGCCUCUCUCACCUGCCUCCGCACGGAGACCCUCACCCCUCAUCCCCCUCACCCCCCUCUCUCACACUCACACGCUCCUCACGACACGUUCACACACAUGCCACCUUAUUGAUUUUGUUAACCGAGCCGAUGCUGUGGACACACGGGCUACGUGGCAGGAGGGGAAGAAGUAAACACGUCCUGUCAGUCACUCGCCAAUGUCCCGCCCCUUUACUCUUUAUCAUCGAUCACUUAGUUUCUCCUCGUGCCCGCGCAUUCUCUCUCAUUCCUCUUUACUCCUGUUUAAUCUCCACCGCCCUCUUUAAUUGUCCGUGUUCCUCUCGACCCCUCAAGAACACGUCGGCGAGAAAAGUGCAUCGAGCAGUAAGAGUGAACGCAGCCGAGAGCAGAAACAACGAGGUCGCUCGCGUCUCCUCGGCCCCCGAGAUGGUUCGCCGUUUAUUCCUCCAGCAAAGCACCAGAAGAACCAACGCGGAACGCUGUGUUAACACACACACACACACACACACACACGCGUGCACGGUCUGCAGACACACACACACACUCUCCUCCGGCCUCCUGGCUGCUCUCUCUCUCUGCCCCAGGUGUCCUCUGCUCCGGUCCUUGCUGUCUUUUGUCCGCUAAGUACCAGUUUACAAUAUUGAUGAGGCCUGGAGGUCCAACCGGCAGCAGGACACACAGUCUGGGGGGGGGGGCAUCGAACACAGUAAGUGUGUUAGAGUGGUUUGUGUAUUCAAAGACUGUACGUGUCGGGGGUUAUGAUGCGUGUGAUGCUGACUUUUACAGUUCAUAAGUAGUGGGAGUCUCACACAUUAUGGCUCUGCACCCACAUUGCAUUUAAAAUGACUAGAAACUUAGAGCUUUCAUUUCAAGGUGUUGACUGAGUCCUCAGUGUGACAGGAAUUCAAGUUCUCGUGACGUAUCUCGUAAGCUCACCUGGUGGCCAAGACGAGAAGCUUUGUGGAAGUAGAGCAUCUUCUGUCCGAUGGUCCUUUAUUACGGCGGAUCAGGACUGAACCUGCGGGAACAACACAUGCGCAUUUUGGAGAUGCAACUCGUCAGAAACAGACCUGGCAGCUAAAUCAACCCCCCUCUCUGCUGUCUGUUCGGUCUCCGUGUUAAACUCAUCCAGGAUCAUAAGAUCAGACGAACUGGACUCUGAGGCCGAGCUGUCAAGCAGCAGCGCAGAGAAGACUUCUAUCGCCUCGGGUCAAACGCACAACUCAUGAACGAUCGCACGGAAAAUGAGGAGCAUUAAAAGCUGCUCUCUGCUUUGUGGAAUGUAAAGAACGGCUCGUUUUAUUGUUCUUUGCUGCAUCGCAGCGAGUUAUUAAGUGAAGAGAUUGGAUUUAUCUGUCAGUCUUCCUCUUGAGAGGGAAAGUCGUUGUCGUCUGAUUCAUUGAUUUUUUGCAGCUUGGAUUAGAUGUAAAUAGUCGUGUCUGAAUUCACUUAGUUGUAUUUUACACCAAUCAAUAUUCUUAUAUUAACAAUUGAAUGUUUAACGUGAAAGGUGUUUGAUGAGCUAGUUCAACUAUUUGGUUUUUUUUACAUCUUUAAUUCAGAAGCUUUUCAUUUUUAGUCGGUUUUUGGAGCUAAAUCUAGGUAGAUUUUCAACAUCUUUUAUUAAAUCCACUUCCUCUUCAGCUCUUAUAUGUGAACUGAUAUGAUGCUUGUUGAAACGUUCUCUCCUGUGGAAAAAAAGGACUGUAGAAUAAUUUCAAUCAUUUUUUUGUGAGAUGAGGAACUCCUUCAACAAGUUGUCUUCCCCUUGAAAGCAGAGUUUUGGCUCAGGUGUCCCGGCGCUCCAUCCCAUUCCACUGCGCCUCAAAUAAUCUGAAAAGCGGUGCGAUGGUGAGUGACUGACAUCCUCUUCCUGUGUGUGUGCGUGUGUGAGUGUGUGAGUGUGUGUGUGUGUGUGUGUGUGUCAGGGACAGGAACGGAUAUUUUAAGGCAGAUGAAGUGUGAAAUUGAAAUGUUUUCCAUUCGGGUUCGUGUUGUGUCACUGACCUCGUCUCGAUGUGGGAACGCUCCUUGAUGAAAUUCAAAUAUGUAUUUAAAUUUCCUGGAUAUUCUAAUGACACCUGAAGGCCACGCCGCCCUUCGUGACACAAAGUUUGCCAUUUGGUCCGACUGAAAUAAUAAUAAAUAAUAAUAAUAAUGUGAGUGUAAUCUGGGAUUACUUACUUAUUUUUUUUAUAAUAAACCGUGAUUAAACAUUUCCUCAUUAUAUGAUUUUCAACAAUAUGUAUAACUUUCACAAAUCUUGCUAAUGGCUUCCAGCAUCCUCUCUGAUUAUUAAGUGAUGAGUUUUUGUCUCCUUGCUGUAAAAAGAAAACUCUUCAUAAGAAAUAUAUGAUGCAGUUUGUGAAGUCAGUUAUCCUUCUUUCACCAACACGCUACUUUUCAACACACAUGAUGUCAUUUAGCUAUGACGUCAUGGUGUUGCGAUGGCGCACACACAAGACAUCGCAUCUAAUAAAAUGACUCAUCCAGUAGGAGCUUGUGUCAGUGGGAUCUCGCUGGAACUCCUUUAAUCAAUUACAUAUUUUAUUUGAGUUUUACAUCCAUGAAAUAAGGUGUCAGGUGACACAAACACACACACACACACACACACACACAGACCAGAGGAAAUAUUCCUCCUGCAUCCAGUGUGGGAGUCUGGAGGGACGAGUUCCCGCAGAAAACCACCACAAAGGAUGAAUCCUGAAUCAGUGGCGUCCGAAAGAAGUUUUUCCCAGUGGGGGGCAGACGGGCGGCACUCACAGGCCACGGGCCCUUUCUGUAUUCAAGAAAUAUUUUCAUGAAUUCGUAGUUUGUCCAACUUGCUGCAAGGACAUGCCUCGCUGCAUGGACAUGUCUCGCUGCAUGGACAUGUCUCCCUGCAUAGACAUGCCUCCCUGCAUGGACCUGCCUCGCUGCAUGGACAUGUCUCGCUGCAUAGACAUGUCUCGCUGCAUAGACAUGCCUCCCUGCAUGGACAUGCCUCGCUGCAUGGACAUGUCUCGCUGCAUGGAC